Non-coding RNA from Caerostris darwini, 84 nucleotides. The record is from the annotation of a GenBank genome assembly. Lineage: Eukaryota; Metazoa; Arthropoda; Arachnida; Araneae; Araneidae.
UUCUCGUUAGAUCACCGAAGUUAAGCAUCAUUGGGCGCGGUCAGUACUUGGGUGGGUGACCACCUGGGAACACUGCGUGCCGUU